Molecule: ribosomal RNA, 519 nt
Filed under: fungal sp. TE6
Lineage: Eukaryota; Fungi
Description: eukaryotic LSU rRNA
Rfam family: 5.8S ribosomal RNA (bases 158-311)
Source: RNAcentral
UAAAUAAAAGGAUACCUUCGGGUAUACCCCAUCCGUGUCUAUCUACUCUUGUUGCUUUGGCAGGCCGUGGUCCCCCACUGUGGGCUCUGCCUGCAUGUGCCUGCCAGGGGACCAAACUCUGAAUUUUAGUGAUGUCUGAGUACUAUAUAAUAGUUAAAACUUUCAACAACGGAUCUCUUGGUUCUGGCAUCGAUGAAGAACGCAGCGAAAUGCGAUAAGUAAUGUGAAUUGCAGAAUUCAGUGAAUCAUCGAAUCUUUGAACGCACAUUGCACCCGGUGGUAUUCCGCCGGGUAUGCCUGUUCGAGCGUCUGUAGAACAACACCAAGACCAAGCUUAGGCUUGAUUUUGAGGUUGCGGCUUCGGCUGCAGCCUUUAAGAGAGGUGGCGGCGUCCGAUGGACUCUAAGCGUAGUAAUUUCUCCUCGCUACAGAGUCUGCCGGCGCAUUUGGUAACUCACUCCAAGCCAACCAAACCCCCCCAAUUUUAGUUUGACCUCGGAUCAAGUAGGGAUCCCCUUG